Molecule: transfer RNA, 66 nt
Filed under: Marmota monax (woodchuck)
Lineage: Eukaryota; Metazoa; Chordata; Mammalia; Rodentia; Sciuridae
Description: tRNA.Ala
Source: RNAcentral
ACCACUCAGUGGUAGAGCACAUGCCUAGCUUGCAUGAGGUCCUUUGUUCAAUCCCUAGUACUGGGG